RNAcentral lists this long non-coding RNA (334 nucleotides) under Panax ginseng (ginseng). Its description in RNAcentral is "long non-coding RNA (PGIN_LNC017434)". Lineage: Eukaryota; Viridiplantae; Streptophyta; Magnoliopsida; Apiales; Araliaceae. The record is from RNAcentral.
AAAAAUCUAUGCACUGGGAGAUAUGUUUCUUGCUAUGGCAAAACUACGAAAGGGUUUAUCCCAUAUUGACAACUUUCACUUUCUUAUGAAAAUUAUCAGGGUUGAUUUACUGGGGAGGGAGUUAUCUGGAUGCAUAUUGAGAUGCAACUUUUAAUAAUUGAUUCAUUUUUCAUGAUGUGCUGGCUAAAGGAUUCUUGUGACUUUUUGUGGGGUCAUGUUCCAUUAUAGUCUUCUGUUCCUUUGCAUUGCAUUAAACAAAAGAAAGGGAAGCGUGAAAAGGUUAGGAGAAAGAUAAUGUGUUGUGAAAAGUGGAAACCCACUAAAUUAAGGAAUG